AACAUUUUGGCAUGUGCAGCGUGUAAAAUAUAUAUAUAUAGAAAAUAAAAUAAGAUUACAAUGGAGCAAUCAUGUUUUGUCCUUCUCUUACCCAUAGCUCGCGUUCCAGUAUUUCCCAACCAAAAACUUUCCUCCAUUGUUUUUGAUGACAAGCUUCACCACUUUAACAAAUUUUCAAUCCCAGCAGCCCUUUGGUGCAAGACCAACUCGAGGGACCAUGGUGGUGAAGGAAAAUGGUGCAAAGGAGCAAAUCGUGUGGAUUAAGGGUGUGGAAGAGAAACCCAUGCCGUAAGUUUCAAGACCCCUCGCCGGCGUUCAUGGUCACCAGUCACCAUAGGACUAACGGGAAGUGACUCCUAAUGACCCCAGCUACCCAAAUCGGCCGUUAGGACUUGGUUCCAUGGAGUUCCGACGAGAUUAAGAGAAAGAGGAGAGAGAAAGUUGAGGUAGUGAACUUUCCGGCCAUUUUCCCGGCAAUUCGACCGUCAGAUCAAAAAUUCGAGACAACUGAUGGACUCAGAAUGGCGAAAUAUUCGAGAUAGGACUGGUCCUGCUCCGAUCGGAUACCGUUUGAAAAAGGCGAUAAUCGAACGAUCCAGAUCACUUGGUGCAAUCGGAUUAAGGAUAGCUCACUGGCGCCGGGACCACAUUUUCAGUCAAAUCUGGCUGCCCGGCAGCCCGUCUCAGAACGUAGUCGAUAUUAUAGUCAAACCUAGCAUUUUCAGAUGUUCUGAAUGCGUUCCCAGUGUCAGAUUUGGCAUAGCUGAAAAAGACUUGGAAACUCAAAGAGACUGAGUCAAGGCUUCAAGGCGACUCUAGUCAGGUUUGUGCACAAUAAUAAUUGUUUAAAUAUUUUAAUCUCAAAAAUUUGACUUCUUUGAUUAAUUAUGUAUUGUGUUACCAUUUUAUAAUCGUAAAUGUGACUUUGAAAAUUGAUCAGAUUUCUCAUAAAUUGUUUGAAUAAAUUGUUUUGAAUUGA
RNAcentral lists this unclassified non-coding RNA (979 nucleotides) under Hevea brasiliensis (rubber tree). The record is from RNAcentral. Lineage: Eukaryota; Viridiplantae; Streptophyta; Magnoliopsida; Malpighiales; Euphorbiaceae.